AUUGAACGCUGGCGGCAUGCCUUACACAUGCAAGUCGAACGGCAGCGGGGGAGAAGCUUGCUUUUCCUGCCGGCGAGUGGCGAACGGGUGAGUAAUACAUCGGAACGUGCCCUGUAGUGGGGGAUAACUAGUCGAAAGAUUAGCUAAUACCGCAUACGACCUGAGGGUGAAAGUGGGGGACCGCAAGGCCUCAUGCUAUAGGAGCGGCCGAUGUCUGAUUAGCUAGGUGGUGGGGUAAAGGACUACCAAGGCGACGAUCAGUAGCUGGUCUGAGAGGACGAACAGCCACACUGGGACUGAGAAACGGCCCAGACUCCUACGGGAGGCAGCAGUGGGGAAUUUUGGACCAUGGGCGAAAGCCUGAUCCAGCAAUGCCGCGUGUGUGAAGAAGGCCUUCGGGUUGUAAAGCACUGUUGUCCGGAAAGAAAUGGCUCUGGUUAAUACCUGGGGUCGAUGACGGUACCGGAAGAAUAAGGACCGGCUAACUACGUGCCAGCCGCCGCCGUAA
This 508-nucleotide ribosomal RNA is filed under the name uncultured bacterium. Its description in RNAcentral is "partial 16S ribosomal RNA". It matches the Rfam family "Bacterial small subunit ribosomal RNA", at positions 30 to 523 of the family's 1533-position model. The record is from RNAcentral.